This is an RNA transcript of Triticum aestivum (bread wheat), 4831 nucleotides long. RefSeq lists it as uncharacterized. NCBI's taxonomy places the organism in Eukaryota, Viridiplantae, Streptophyta, Magnoliopsida, Poales, Poaceae. The transcript is spliced from 3 exons. The record is from RefSeq and is a predicted model, not a curated record.
CCCAGCCCUAGCCGCAACCCCAACCCCAUGGAGGUCGAGAUCAAGCUCCGUCUCCCCGACGCGGCUGCACACCGGCGCCUCUCCUCCUUCCUCGCGCCCCGCCUGCUCCGCACCGACGCCCCAGCGCGGCCCCUCGCCGCCGCCACCGCCGCCCAGCGGGACGUCCGCCUCUACGGCACCGACGACCGCGACCCCUCCCGCGCCGUCCUCACGCUCAAGCGCCGCCCGCGCAUCGACGCCAGCGUCAGCCGCGUUGAGGAGGUCGUGGAGCCCCUCGACCCCGCCCUCGCCCUCACCUGCGUCGACAACCCCGCCCGUCUCGACGCGGUCGACUCCCCCAUCGUCCGGCUCGUCUCCGACGAGUACGGCGUCGGCGGGGACAAAGCGCCGUUCGUCUGCCUCGGCGGCUUCCGGAACACCCGCUGUGUGUAUGAGCUCGAGGAGGGCGAGGGGCAGGGGCUCGUGCUAGACGGCAGCGGGCUGGGCCUACGUUGGCGGUGCCGGCAUUCCUCUCCUCCGACGAGCGGUAGCGGCGGCGGCACGGGACGCAGUGGGCCUGACCUGCGUCGGCGACAAUGGGGGCCCUCUCCUCCGUCGAGCGGCGGCGGCGGCGCGGGACGUAGUGGGCCCGGCCUGCAUCGGCGGUGGCGGCGGCGGGAUCCAUCUCCUCCCUCAAGCAGCGGCGGCUUGGGACACGGUGGGCUUGGCCGCAAAGAUGGAUUUCUCUGGGGCAUUCGAUUACUGGCCUCUGUUCCUCGACUCGCGCCAGGGACGCAUAUGCCCAUCCGGUCGUUCCUCCUCAUGGUCAGCGACGCAGAUGCGGCCGCUGUCAUUCCUCGCACAGCCGAAGGUACGGAACUCCUCUACGCGACGGUGAGACACACGAUGUAGCCUUCUGCGCUCGAGCACCAUGGCACCACGCCAUGUGAACGUCCCAGGGAGGCAUACUGGUAGGGGUUGCACCAUGUAGCGUGUGGAUGCCCACCAAAUGUUCGAUGUGUUCCCCUAAUUGAUCUCUCUAUAUAGCUAGCCCUCUGUAUUUCAGUCUCUCCCUGCUCUGCAUGCCUUGCGUCGUCCAUAUAUGAUCUUAUUUUGUUUCAGUUUUUUUGCUAGAUUUAACACUGUCAUUUGUUUAAAACUUUAAAUGUUAUCCAGGUUGAACCAUUGAAAGGGAGCACAUAAAGCUGCAGAGGCACAACUCCAAAGGAAACAGCACGGUGAUGUUUUUCUAUAUGUUCAGUGUGUCUAUAAACCAACAUGCUGACUGCUAAAGUUCUUGCGGGCGUGAUUGCUUUAAUUUUAGAAGGCACUGAUGUAACACAGGAAAUAGUUACUACUGAAGAAAUCAUUUUUGCAACACUCAAUCUUGAGUCUGCACUUGCUAACAGAGAUGCACCCAAAACAAUGUACUCCUGAUUGUUUGCUUGGUAACAUCCUCUCGUAGAAAACUUAAAUUAGAUUCUUUUUACUUCCUAAUCUUUACAUUUUGCAUUUUAAUUAUUAUCCUAUAUGCACAGGAUCUUAGACAAAUAUUGUUAAUGUCUACAUUGGAAAGGAUCCAAACUCUAAACAAGUGAUUGGUGAAUAAUUUUUUAUCUAGGUUCAGAAGUUGAUAAUCCGCUACAGUUCUUUCAUUUUGCAGGCAACCUCGGGUAUGAUGAAACGGCUUUCUUUUGCUUCCGCCGUCACAUUGCUGAAUACGACUUUGAAUCUCAGCUGCACUUGACUGCACCUUCUAUCUUGAUCCACUUGACAACUUAUAAUUUGCACGAGCAUUCCCCUGCAUAGUUUGUCCUUGGUCUGAAAGAACAAUUCCUGAUGAUAUAUUCCAAAUCAGGUUGUUGCCUGGAUCCUAUGAACAAUAUGUACAGUCACGCUGUCGUUAUCCGUUAACCAUCAUGUAAGUUUUCACUACAGUUUGUUUCGGUUCCAUUUCAGAAUCCCCAAAUCAUUCAAGAGUGCGCGACGCACAAGGCUGUAAUGUUUCCGCACUUGCAUCCAUAGAAGGGUGUUGGUAAAUUCUGUUUUCGAUGGAUUUUGAAGGGAACUUCUGUUUUUAUCGAGGAUGAGACAAUACUAAGAGACUAACAAGAACACAGUUAAUUACUGGAUCAUCCAUGUUUCCUAGCCGUGAAUAGAACCUGCUGUGGUAACUUUCUUGUGGCUCUUGAAAUAAUUCCAGUGAAACUGAAUCAUUCAGUCAUGCCUUCACUUAAGUAAACAAUGGCUCUGGGUACUGGGAUCUCUCAUCUUGGUUAUUUUUAUAUAUUGCAUUGCAAAACCAGAAGCUCAAGCUAGGCUAGGCUCACAGAAUAAUGAUGAUGAUUACUUAGCUAAAAUCCUAAAAUCUAGAACUCCCUACCCAUUUGCUCUAGCUGGCAGCAAGAAUAAUGAACAGAAAGCACCGUGCCCGGUUGCGUCGUGAAUAUGCCUAAUCAAGUUCCAUAUGGAUAGAAUUUCAUUGUGUUUGCCUUGUGAAAUGGAUGCAGAUGUGGUCAUUGAAGUUUGAUCUGGUCGCGGACAGAUGCGUCGAGCUGCAUAUUUAACCAGGUAUAUUUAAUCAUUUCACAGUUAUUUAACCAGUGCUAAUACAAAUAAAAAGAUGUGGCAACAUUUCAACCAGAUACUUCAUCGAUUUGUUUUCGACCAGAAGUGGGUUUGGAUUAAUAGUUGAUAUAUUGCUAUUAUUAGGAGCACUCAUAUUUCAGAAUUUUGGUUAAAUUGGUUGUGUAUUGUAUAGCUGAUAUUGAUAUGUUGCACAAUAUUCAAGCCCAUUGAUAUAUUGCAGCCAUAUAUUUCCUAUUUCUUGGUGAAUUGGGAUUGCAAUUGAUAUCCCAGUCGUAAGAGUUCGAGUGCGAGUCCAUCGUGAUAUGCACUUCCAUCCCUAUUUUCUGUUUUUUGGUGAGUAUAUAUUCUUGAUUUCAGUUUUUGUAAUGGUUAUUUAAGUGGAUAUGAUAAAUCGAUAAUUACGAAGAAUGGGAAUGCGAUGGGCAAGAAAAAUAUACGAGAAGAAUCAAGAAAAAUUCUGUAUUUGAAAUGGAACGGAACUAUACAUAUUGCAAUCCAGACAUACUAUGCAAUCAAACUGGUAGAAUCCAUGUGCCCUGUUGUGAUUUCAGUUACUUUCAAGUUUCAGCAUUUUUCUGGUGAUUUUGAUCUCUUGUCCAAUGUUUAUAUGUCUGCAAAGCUUCAGUAUAAGUGGCUAAUGACCAUAUCCAAGGUGGCAUUCAAUGAAUGACAACACCAGACCGGGAAGUUCAUGGCGCAUCUCUACGAUGCAUUUUUCUUCUUCUUUGGAAGCUUGUUUCAAGUUCGUUGUUUGAUUAGCUGAUUAUAAGAAACAGUUUAUGCCACCUGAAAUAUCAAAAUGCAUGCCGAUUCAUUCCUAUUUGAUAAAUUUAUAAUGGUUUGUAUGCUAAAUAUCAUUUUUAUGUGACAUAAUGAAUGGACAUGCUAACUGGUAAUUAUGGGAACGUCAUGCUAAUUUUUUUUCUAUGUGAUAUGAUGAAUGGACCUGGAGGUUGCCCCAUGGGCCCGUCGCCAUUGGUUGAGGUGAAGCAGGUGAAUAAGAAGGGGGUGGCAACGAAGGUGGCGGAGUGGCAGAUGGCAGAGGUGGAGAUCAGCAAUUAAUUCAAGAGGGAGGUGGUUGUCGUCAACGGCUCAGAGGCAGAGCAGCAACUCAAGCCCAAGACCAAGCAUAUUGUUACAAUUUACAGAAAAUGUGGGAUGCUUCAAAUGGGAAAUGUAUCAUGCUUAUGUGAGCCAAGUCAGCCAACAUUUCUGUUUAGAUCGGAACAUGGCGAAUUGGCAACCAAUGCAUCAUAUAUUUUGCCCAUUCACGAACCCGGUAAAUAUUUUGACAAUUUAAGACUACAAUACAUAUGUAUUUCACUAUAGUAAGCUACAGUUUUGUAUGAUGUUUCAUUUUCACCAAAAUUUACAUCAUUCCAAGAGGAGAUAAUUUGUAAUGACUUUCCAACAACUGAGAAACACACUAUUCCUACAAUCUGUACCACGCUAUUACUAAGAUAAAUUCUAUAUUGCGGUUUGGAGGGAGUGGUUAUAGGCGCAUUUGGCUGCCUCGACGAUGCAGACGACCAAGUCUAGGGCAUGCGCGCAACACCCUCUUGAACAUGGCCAACUGAUGGACGACAAUGGGGGUUGACACAUGACUAUGUAUGUGAACACUUGUUGUUCGUCUUCAUCCCCUCGCACUCGCCCAUGGAGCAGAGGGCGGCCGCCGGCGCCGGCACUCGUCCGGCCGACUUCGACCAUCCCCCGAGACGCUGCGGCCACCGGCGAGCUUGGGAGAGAGCGCCGCCUCCGUCCCGUCUGGACACAGAUGCCGAGGAGGGUAGAGGUGGCGGCGGCUUCGGUGACCGCGGAGGAGGCCGUCGGCCAUGGUGGUGGACAGCGAUUUGGUCGCUCCCGAGAUGAACUAGAGAGGGGAAGAGCUUCGCCGAGGUCUCAGGGAUCCAAUGUCCAUCCAUCCAUCUUGUUCCUUAUUUAACAUGAACAAAUGGAGGUGGGGUGGGGGUGUAGGGAGGGGGAACAGCAUGAAGAUGGGUGGCACUAUACAUUUUUCUAGCAGUAACAUUUGGCCAGCUUCUUAUGAUGUGUAUGAAUAGUUGAUUUGUUCAUUUUGAUUUAUAACCUUGUUGAUGUUCACCUCUACCAGAUUUCCAUAAUGGAACAUCGCCCGGUGUAUUUGAAGGUUGGCAGUUUAGAUGGGCCAACCAAUGAGUGAGCUUAUGUCAAAAUAAGCAUAACAUCUGUUUGAUUCUUCUAGGGGUCACAACAUGGUAAAAGAUGCCCAGGCACACAUCAUUUU